AAUCGAAAGUAUUAAGAAAAUGAAAUUGUUGAUGCUCAAGAAGCAAGAAAACUACAAAAAAACAAUAACUUAGGUAUUCAAGGAACCCAGAACAAAAUUCUCAUAAAAAGUGAAAAUCUUAGCUUAAUGAUCUGCCGAAGACUAACAUCUCAGUCUAAUUACCUGCUUGGAUGUUGUUACAAGUGUAAAAGUUAAAAACUGGUACAUAAACUGUUUGACUAACAAGGACAAACAGAAUAAGCUGGAAGGUUCCAAGCAUUCUUGCCUGAAUAAUGACCAAGUUGCAAGCCAGCUAAUCUGUAUUCAGCGCUUCUUUUUCGCAGCAUUGGACUUUGAAGGGCUCGCAAUCAGGUAGACAAAUAGAACCACAAUUGAGAUCACAGAAAUCAAGGAACCAUAUUUCGCCAUCAAUUUCUUUGCCCAGUCAAACUUCUUCUCCGGGGGCCUAUCAGCUAGUAUGUCAAGAGGGAGGAUUGGAGUUGAGAAUGCCUCCUGUAGAGCAGCCUUAGUGGGAAUACGGAAUGUUAUGACCGCUGGUGCCCCAUAAAACACUGUUUUUUUCUUAGCUUCCAACUCAAAGGAAUGGGAGAGAGAAGCCCCAGCGUCCAGCCUUUCCCACGACAUGGAUGUGUUACCAGCGACAAUUUCAAAUACAUCUUGAGACCAGUUAUCAUCAUAAAGACUCACAUCGUAUGCCGUCGCAGAUCCUUCGUUGUAGAUGUCGAUGGAGAUGGAAAUCCGUUCGAUGUCGGAUUUGAGUCGAGUAAGAGCGGCCUUCUUGUGUGCGACAAUAAAUGGCCCGUCGGAGGCUGCGAUUGUCCAUGAGAAACAUAAUAGAGCUAAUACGGUAGCUAGAAGGAACUUCCUCGCACAAUCCGCCAUGCUUGCUUAACAGAUACAGAUACAGAUUCAGAUUCAA
This 919-nucleotide unclassified non-coding RNA is filed under the name Hevea brasiliensis (rubber tree). The record is from RNAcentral. Lineage: Eukaryota; Viridiplantae; Streptophyta; Magnoliopsida; Malpighiales; Euphorbiaceae.